GUAGGUGGCAAGCGUUGUCCGGAAUUAUUGGGCGUAAAGCGCGCGCAGGGCGGUCCUUUAAGUCUGAUGUGAAAGCCCACGGCUCAACCGUGGAGGGUCAUUGGAAACUGGGGGACUUGAGUACGGAAGAGGAAAGCGGAAUUCCAAGUGUAGCGGUGAAAUGCGUAGAGAUUUGGAGGAACACCAGUGGCGAAGGCGGCUUUCUGGUCUGUAACUGACGCUGAGGCGCGAAAGCGUGGGGAGCAAACAGGAUUAGAUACCCUGGUAGUCCACGCCGUAAACGAUGAGUGCUAAGUGUUAGGGGGUUUCCGCCCCUUAGUGCUGCAGCUAACGCAUUAAGCACUCCGCCUGGGGAGUACGGCCGCAGGGCUG
RNAcentral lists this ribosomal RNA (372 nucleotides) under uncultured organism. RNAcentral's name for it is "partial 16S ribosomal RNA". It matches the Rfam family "Bacterial small subunit ribosomal RNA", at positions 527 to 896 of the family's 1533-position model. The record is from RNAcentral.